Non-coding RNA from Oryctolagus cuniculus (rabbit), 6137 nucleotides. The record is from RefSeq and is a predicted model, not a curated record. Lineage: Eukaryota; Metazoa; Chordata; Mammalia; Lagomorpha; Leporidae.
UGUUCAAACAGCUGCUUCCACAAAAGGCCUAAGCUUUUCCCAGCAAAAUUCUGUGACUGCUAUGUGCCCAGCUCCCAGAACUUUGGAGUUGAUGCCUCAGUUGGGGAUGGUCACAGAAUAGACAAUGGGACUGCACAGAAGCACUGGCGACUAGAGGAGCCCUGGCUGUUGUCCACCUCCUGGAAAGUUUGCCACAAGAUCUUAAAUAACUUUGGUGCAAUACAAGACUACUGCAGAAACUUGGCAAGAAAAUGGAAUUAAAGUCACUACACUUUUUCAAGUUCUUUCGAACAAGACCUGCCUGCGGAGGAUGAAGUUGGAGACGUGUCAGCAGGAAAGCAAAAGAAAUGGAGUUCCUGGGGCCCUUUGCAGGCAUUCCAUUAGCUAGAGCAGUGCUGGCUUUCCAACCAGCAAAGAAAAGCACAAGCAAUUUGCCCAGGCCUCCAGGUCAUCCCCCCGGCAUCCUCCGAAGAACAAGUCAGACUUGGGAGAAACACAGACUCGUCCAAGGAGGGGUGAUCCAAGAAGCCUGGCUUCAGCUCCAUCCUGGCGCCUGUCUAUGAGCACCCAAGGCCACCGUGUCCCCACCCAGGCCAGGAAAGGGCAGGGCGGCCAGCACGAGCACCAGAGCCUGCGGCAGGAUGUCCAGCCCAUUUGUGGCUCAGCCACAGCCACAGGGGAUGGGAGGCCGGUCCAUCACUGCGCCUGCCCCAGGCUUUCAGCUCAGCUGGAGGUCUCCCAAGGUUGGGUUUCUGGGACUCCGCCUGGGACCUGGCAAAAUCCCCACAUCCCCUGUAACUCAUAAUAGCUACUGUUUAGUGAGCUGUUCUCAGACAAUGUGCUGCAUGUUUGCAUAAUACCCACCCUCCUUAUAAUGGUAAUAUAACUAAAAUAAUUUUGAAAGGAUUUUCCCAAGGAGGGGUGCAUAGCUGUCUGGACUAACACCUGGGAGAUCUGACUCUGUAUCUUCACUCAUCAUAAGACAAUAUAUUUAAGUUAGGAUAAUUGUAGCUUGUAUGUGUUUUCAUACAUCAACUCAUUUUAUCCCCCACAGAUGAUCUUAAGAACAAGCUGUCCUUCUAUUGAUGAGGAAAUGGAAGAAAGGUUUGGUGUAGAAUAGAGAGAUGUCCCACCAGUAACCAUGCACUGGGUUAGGGACAGAAGCCUACCUCCUGGCUUUUGAUUCGGAAAUUAAUCUAACUCAUUCCUAAUAUAUUCAUGCACAUGCAUGCAGACACACACACACACACACACGCACACGUGCGCAAACACUUCACUCCUGGGGAGAAAGGGAACAGGUGGAAAGAGAGUUGAUAGUUAAGGAGGCUGGAUCAUGACAAUGUGAGUUUUAAUUUCUCAAUUCUCUGUCCACUUAUUGGCAUUUGUCAAGUCAUCCAUUGCAUAAGCCAACUCUUCUAUCCCAAUCUUGAAUUCCCAUGUUGAUCAUUGUCGCUACAUGGUAAUCUCUAUAAAUUCAAGACAUAUGUGUGAUAGUGAUCCCUUGGGGGCAACUGAAAAGAAUAAGAUUGUCUGAUUUGGCUAAAAGAAUGAAGGUGGUUAAUGAAAAUGUGCCUGUGUGGGAUCUUAAAUGUUUAUAUGUGCUUGAGCAUAGUAUCUGCCCUCAUAGACCAGACUCUACUCUAAUCAAUAGUGGCACUUUUAUGCACUUAAGAACUAUUUAUACACACAUAAAAAAAACUCACAGUUGCCAAUUCUAAAUGUAUUAGAUGCUAUUUCCUAGACCUGUUCUUUUCUAUGUAUCUAUCAAAGAUAGAUGAUAUCAAAGGUAGAUAUCAAAGAUAGAUAAAGAUAUCAAAGAUGGUGUGACCCUCAGAGUCUUCACUUGAGGAUUAUCCAGUGAAUUCUGUUGGGCCCUUCUUUGAUCAGUGGUCCUGUAUGACACCCCUCCCCCUCAUAAGAUGUCCUCUGUUGGAGGAGAUAGGAUAUGGACCUACAAGGCCUUGAGCAUCCAAAGACUGUGAACAACCCACAGACAAUGAGUAGUAAGAGUAGGUCAUCAUUUAAAGGCUGUUAGUGAGUGGUGUUGGGGUUGGGAGGGCAGGGAGUUCUUGUGAGACAACAUCCUGUGCCAAACCUGCUUCCACUCAGCUCCCUGGUCCUCAAGGUGGAAACUUCCUCUUUUCCCCCAACCAGGCUCCUGCUUUUCCCACUGUAGUUCCAGAAGCCCACCAGCCCUCCCUUCUCCCUUUCCCAAACUUGGCUUGAUUUUAAAAAUAAGGUAAAAGUGGAGCUCCGUAUAACUUAAAGGCUCCCAUAGAAUGGUGUUUUCCAUGAACCUUUGUUUCUCCUUCCAUGUGACUACAGGAGGAGAAAUGGCUAUAGGGAAAAGCACACUUAAAAACUGCACAAAGUGAUAUUUCAAAAUAUAACUCUUCCCCUUGCUUAAUGAGAUCCUCCUCAUCCUUUUCUCUAAGACUCACUUCUUCCUUGAGGCCUGCUUACUCUAUUCCAGAAUUUAACAGUCAUUCCUCCCUCAAAUUCACAUUAUCUAUACCAUUCAUUUGUCUCUGUGUAACUAAUCACACUGUCUUACUAUAGUUUUGUUUUGCUGGCUUUUAGUGUAUUUGCAACUCAGGUUUUGUCUUGUCUUUCAACUACAUUAUCAAUGCCUUCAGAACUAAGAAAAUCCCAAAAAAACACUUUGCAUGCUACUGUGUCUUACAUACAGCAAAAAAUCUACUGGUAAGCCAAUGGAUUCUCAUUCUGGAAGCAUCUCUGAGGUAUACUUGACUAAGACAAAAAGGAAGCCAGUCAACAUGGAACAUAUGCUUGUUAAUUUUAUGAGUCAACACGACUGGGCCUCACGGUGCCCAGAUAUUUAGUCAAACAUUGAGUACUCUGAGUACCUGUAAGGGUGUUUCUGUGCCCUCGCUAAUGUGGGUAGACGUCAUUCAGUAGACCAAAGUUCUGAAUACAAAACACACUCUUGUGAAUGACACAGAAUUUUCUCCUGUCCACCUACAUUCAAGCUCAAGCUGAAACAGGCCCUUCCUGGGUCUUGAACAUGCUGGCAUUUGGAUUCCAGCUACACCAUCAGCUCCUCGAGGUCUUGAACUUGCCAACUACACAUCUUGGGACUUGUGAGCCUCUCUAAGUGGGUGAGCCAAUUCCUUGCAAUAAAUCUUUACCUAUUUCUUUAGCUAUGUCUAUAUUUAUCUCCUGUUGCUACUGUUUCUCUAGAGAAUCUUGACUAACAUAGACUAAUGUCCCAAAGCUUUGUAUUUGGGGAAACCUCCUGUCCUGAGUACUAUGGUUCAAGGUCCUGACACAGAUGCAAGGUAGGAAUCAUGCAACCUAAAAAAACGGGCAAAUAUUAGAAGGGAGUUUCUAUUGGUGACAAGGAUGAUGAUAAACACGUAGCUAUUAACUGUGUUCUGGAUACUGUUCUAAAUCAUUAACAUCUAUGAGCUGUAAAUGUAAAUCCUUUACAUGUAUGAGUUGAUUUAAUCUGUACAAUAGUCUCUAUGAUCUAUCUAUAUUUAUAUAAGUAACAUUAAUGUAUACCAGAACGUAAUGUAUUCAUUAUGAAAGAACAAUAACAAUUACAAGAGAUUAACUUUCCAAGUAAGAGUCAUUUUCCUAUUAAGACUUAAUACUUACACUGGGGAAAUAGCAUAUGGAGUGAUAUUAAGGGUGUUUGCAUUUUUUAAGUGCUGUAAAGCUCUCUAUUACCAGGGAAAAGAAAUUCCACUCAAUUAGAUCAUGAAACUGAGUAUUACACAGUUUGAGUCCCAAGAUUAGAAAGGCUUGAAGAGAUUGAAUACAGGUGAAAACUAAUUGAAGAUGUGCUGUGAUAUAUAUUAAGACUGGAGCUGUGUCUGUUACAAGCAGUCACGGUAUCUCUCUUCCAUUGUUCCUUCAUGUGGUCUCCCUGAAUAGUACAACUCAUUUCCAGUAGAAAUGAAUCUUACGUGUCGAAGUCGUUUGUGGUGAGCUGAGUCUGGAGAAUUUUGGUCCCUAAGUAACACACAAUCUAAUUGUCUGCUGUUGCACUGUGUUUAGGGAAAGUAGAAAUUCAAUUCCUGAGCUGCCACAAGCCAGUGGAGAGACAGCAGGCUGAAUUUGUCAUGGUACAAAAAAUUAAAACAAAAUAUUCUCCAAUGCUGGCAUAUUUUUUAAUAAAUGUUGCUAAUGUAUAUGAUUUUUUCCAGGAAAUUUGAGUUCUUGGAGUUUAAGAAUUCAGUAGAAUAAGGAAAAGUUGAAAGAAACAUCAUAAAAUUCUCAGCUUGGUUUGGUCAUGAAUUUCUUUUUAAUGCAAAAACUAUAUAUAUGAUAAUUCCCAGGUGAAUCAUUUUAUUAUUUACUCAAAAACUAGUAAUAACAUUAUGGUUAAUUUUUCUGUUUCAUUUUCCAAAUGAGGACUUGCUUACUGUAUCAUUGAAUAAAACCAUGAAGCUCUCAUUAGGACAAUGUCAAACACCCUACAACCCUUAUGAGCCCUUUUGCUAUCACUGCCACACAUUGUACCCCAGUAUAUUCACCCUGCUUGUUCCCAGGAGGACCAGAUGAUAGAGUAUAAAUAGAGCAGCAUGUAAUUGAUGUCUAAAAUAGGAAUUGAAUGAAUACUGAUUGGUGUUACAGUCUCAAAUGUUACAUUUGGCAACAGUUAUCAAUAACUGUCACCCCUUUUAAACUAAAUUUAGCACUUUCAUAUUGUAGAAUAUAUGUAAAAUAAUAGGAAUCUCCAUUAUACCGAAAAGAGUUCUUUACGUGUAUACCUCUCUGAAUUUUUCCAUGACACUUCAAGUGCAAUAAAUGUCACUGUCUGUGGGACAUGCAGCCACCAGCUGCCUACACACACACACACACACACAGAAAGAGAGAGAGAGAGAGAGAGAGAGAGAGAGAGAGAGAGAGAGAUUGAAUAAGCUUCCAGGCCUGGGAGACACCCUGAUCCAGGCUAUAUCACACAGCAAAGCUGUGCAUCCACCACUGCCUCUGGGCCUGGACUUGAGAAAGCACAGCCUAUUUGAAAUUGGCUCCCAGAGCGUAACAAAUGCUUUCUUUUCACUCUCAUUUUGGUGGGGAACUUGAAAGAAAAAGCUGCUAUACAUCCCCUCCGGCAUCAGGAAGCCUGGAAGAGAUCUCAGAAGGAAAGACUCAGCCCACAGACAUCUUAAGGAGAGUUUCAAAAAUUGGGAAACUUUACAUAGAUGGAAGAUUUUUGUAGCUUCUCUUGAGAGGUCAAAGGAUCAAGCUUCACUGGACUGACAUUCCCAGGUGGCAGUAGUUGGUGGUAGCUUAGUAGUGGCUGCUCUUCUCAGGGGGCCCCACUCACCACAGGCCCUUACAAGUCCCAGAUUUCUCCCUCUUUCCUUUGCCCAUCUGGUCCUUAACAAGGUGGAAGUUGUUACCCAACCUAAAAACAAUAGCAGUGGGAAUGUGGUGUCUGUGACAGUGAGGAAAAUCCUCAAACGUAUCAAUUAUUUUGUCAUGAAAUUGUAAGUAACCUGAGAUCCUACAAUACUAGUAUAUUUGCACUCACAACUGUUCUCCCUCUCAAUUUCAUAUUUCAGUAAGCAAAUAGUGCAUAAAACCUAUCAUGGGUAAGGCACUGUUUCCAAAUUCAUGAGUUAACUCAUUUUGAUCUUCAUAAUAAUCCUAUGAGCUGGGGACUGUCUUCACCUCAUUUUUCAGAUGAGAAAACUAAGGCACAGAGGUUAAGUAACUUGCCAAGAUCACAUUGCUGGUUGGCAGCACAGCCAAGAAUUGAACCUGGCUGACCUCACUCGAGUCUUGACUUUCAGCUGCAAUCAUAUGCUUCAAUGCACCACAUACACUUGGUUAAAAAUUCAGUUCUUCAAAAUGUCUCUCCAUGUCUAUCAAUGGUACCCUGAAUCCCCAUUGCUGAACUGGUUUUGCCUCCUCCAAGUUCCAGUGCUUACUGCCACCAUAACACGCAUCAUACCAGCUGAACUUCCUAUCUAGUGUCUAAAGCAAGAAGAGUAUCUUAUUCCCUGUCAUGCAGUUCAUAGCAGACAUCCAAUAAGUGUUUGUUGAAUGAAAAAAUAAAAUAUAUGCCUUUUAAUUUUUGUAUUUCUACCCUCUUGUACCAAAUUGAAAUCAUGUCAAAAUUGGACCAAUAAAAGCCUACUAAAUGGUCUCAUUGCCUCUGG